AUCAUCCAAGGCUCCAUCAAAAGAAGAAGAAAGCAAGCACUUUCUCCUUUCAGACAAGAGGUUUUGAGGAGAGGCUAUGUACUUCACCAGUCAACGCGGGAACGGGUGGAAUUCAAAGGCAUUUGUAAAAAAGAAACCAGUGCUCAUGUUAGCUUAUUGGAAUAAAUAUCUUCAGAACCGUGAAGUUCAAUGGAGGAUCCAGAAUUACCACCUCAGAUAGCAGAGAUAGAUGGAACUGCAGAACCUAAGGCUGAUGCUCUGAAUUACCUGUGGAAAUACCAGGAAAUACUUUCACCAGCUACUGUUUAAAGAAUGAAAUCAUGAGCACCCGGAAUGUAAAUUAAAUUUUUGUUUUUAAUGCCAGUUCACCAACUUACAUUCAGCAAUACUCAUUUCUGAAUAAAGUUCUUUCCGCUUUGAAAAGCUGUCCCUUUACCAGUGACUCCAUUCCUUUCUCUCAUGAUGC
Molecule: long non-coding RNA, 466 nt
Organism: Struthio camelus australis
Lineage: Eukaryota; Metazoa; Chordata; Aves; Struthioniformes; Struthionidae
Source: RefSeq, a predicted model, not a curated record